This 253-nucleotide ribosomal RNA is filed under the name uncultured bacterium. Its description in RNAcentral is "partial 16S ribosomal RNA". It matches the Rfam family "Bacterial small subunit ribosomal RNA", at positions 524 to 776 of the family's 1533-position model. The record is from RNAcentral.
UACGUAGGGGGCAAGCGUUGUCCGGAAUCAUUGGGCGUAAAGCGCGUGUAGGCGGUCCGGUAAGUCCGCUGUGAAAGUCGGGGGCUCAACCCUCGAAUGCCGGUGGAUACUGUCGGACUAGAGUGCGGAAGAGGCGAGUGGAAUUCCUGGUGUAGCGGUGAAAUGCGCAGAUAUCAGGAGGAACACCAAUUGCGAAGGCAGCUCGCUGGGACGUUACUGACGCUGAGACGCGAAAGCGUGGGGAGCAAACAGG